UACGUAGGGUGCGAGCGUUGUCCGGAAUUAUUGGGCGUAAAGAGCUCGUAGGCGGUCUGUCGCGUCGGUCGUGAAAACUUGGGGCUUAACCCUGAGCUUGCGGUCGAUACGGGCAUGACUGGAGUUCGGCAGGGGAGACUGGAAUUCCUGGUGUAGCGGUGAAAUGCGUAGAUAUGUGGAGGAACACCGAUGGCGAAGGCAGCCCCCUGGGUUAACACUGACGCUCAUGCACGAAAGCGUGGGGAGCAAACAGG
Molecule: ribosomal RNA, 254 nt
Filed under: uncultured bacterium
Lineage: Bacteria
Description: partial 16S ribosomal RNA
Rfam family: Bacterial small subunit ribosomal RNA
Source: RNAcentral